AAAGAAUAAAAAAAAAGAAGCCGCUAACUAUCUUAAAAAGUGUUAAAUCACUUAUUCUUUU
This 61-nucleotide transfer RNA is filed under the name Bambusicaliscelis fanjingensis. Its description in RNAcentral is "tRNA-Ser". The record is from RNAcentral. Lineage: Eukaryota; Metazoa; Arthropoda; Insecta; Hemiptera; Caliscelidae.